UGGUGAUGUGAUGCUUGGCCUGGACGGUAGCUUACGCGCGUUGGAUGAAAUAGGCGACUAUUGUGUUGGGGAUGGACGACGGACGCACUCAAAGUUGGAUAUGCCCCGCUUGCGCGCGUUGGAUGAAAUAGGCGACUAUUGUGUUGGGGAUGGAUGAAAUAGGCGACUAUUGUGUUGGGGAUGGACGACGGACGCACUCAAAGUUGGAUAUGCCCCGCUUGCGCGCGUUGGAUGAAAUAGGCGACUAUUGUGUUGGGGAUGGACGACGCUUCUUCUCUUGAAGACCUCGUCUAUUUAAGCCUAGCGAAGACGUGCCUAUUUUGGUAAGGCUUUUUUAUUUGUGAACGCUGUGCAUUCUAUUGAUUCUACCCUGAUUCUACUUUAUCUAUUUUAUCAUGAAAUUCUACGUUCUACUUUAGAACGUGAAGUUCGUCUU
Molecule: long non-coding RNA, 436 nt
Filed under: Elaeis guineensis (African oil palm)
Lineage: Eukaryota; Viridiplantae; Streptophyta; Magnoliopsida; Arecales; Arecaceae
Description: long non-coding RNA (EGUI_LNC079655)
Source: RNAcentral